RNAcentral lists this ribosomal RNA (450 nucleotides) under uncultured bacterium. RNAcentral's name for it is "bacterial SSU rRNA". It matches the Rfam family "Bacterial small subunit ribosomal RNA", at positions 354 to 796 of the family's 1533-position model. The record is from RNAcentral.
GUGGGGAAUAUUGGACAAUGGGCGAAAGCCUGAUCCAGCCAUGCCGCGUGUGUGAAGAAGGUCUUCGGAUUGUAAAGCACUUUAAGUUGGGAGGAAGGGCAGUAAGUUAAUACCUUGCUGUUUUGACGUUACCGACAGAAUAAGCACCGGCUAACUUCGUGCCAGCAGCCGCGGUAAUACGAAGGGUGCAAGCGUUAAUCGGAAUUACUGGGCGUAAAGCGCGCGUAGGUGGUUUUGUAAGUUGGAGGUGAAAUCCCCGGGCUCAACCUGGGAACUGCCUCCAAAACUGCAUGACUAGAGUACGGUAGAGGGUAGUGGAAGUUCCUGUGUAGCGGUGAAAUGCGUAGAUAUAGGAAGGAACACCAGUGGCGAAGGCGACUACCUGGACUGAUACUGACACUGAGGUGCGAAAGCGUGGGGAGCAAACAGGAUUAGAUACCCUAGUAGUCC